This 254-nucleotide ribosomal RNA is filed under the name uncultured bacterium. RNAcentral describes it as "partial 16S ribosomal RNA". It matches the Rfam family "Bacterial small subunit ribosomal RNA", at positions 524 to 776 of the family's 1533-position model. The record is from RNAcentral.
CACGUAGGGGGCGAGCGUUGUCCGGAUUUAUUGGGCGUAAAGAGCUCGUAGGCGGCUAAGUAAGUCGGGUGUGAAAACUCCAGGCUCAACCUGGAGACGCCACCCGAUACUGCUUUGGCUAGAGUCCGGUAGGGGAGCAUGGAAUUCCUGGUGUAGCGGUGAAAUGCGCAGAUAUCAGGAGGAACACCAGUGGCGAAGGCGGUGCUCUGGGCCGGAACUGACGCUGAGGAGCGUAAGCGUGGGGAGCAAACAGG